RNAcentral lists this ribosomal RNA (254 nucleotides) under uncultured bacterium. Its description in RNAcentral is "partial 16S ribosomal RNA". It matches the Rfam family "Bacterial small subunit ribosomal RNA", at positions 524 to 777 of the family's 1533-position model. The record is from RNAcentral.
UACGAAGGGGGCUAGCGUUGUUCGGAAUUACUGGGCGUAAAGGGCGCGUAGGCGGUGUGUCAAGUCAGGCGUGAAAGCCCCGGGCUCAACCUGGGAACCGCGCUUGAGACUGGCACGCUCGAGUUCGGGAGAGGAUGGUGGAAUUCCCAGUGUAGAGGUGAAAUUCGUAGAUAUUGGGAAGAACACCGAUGGCGAAGGCAGCCAUCUGGACCGACACUGACGCUGAGGCGCGAAAGCGUGGGGAGCAAACAGGG